Molecule: ribosomal RNA, 301 nt
Filed under: uncultured bacterium
Lineage: Bacteria
Description: partial 16S ribosomal RNA
Rfam family: Bacterial small subunit ribosomal RNA
Source: RNAcentral
CAGUAGCCACGGUAAUACGUAGGGUGCAAGCGUUAAUCGGAAUUACUGGGCGUAAAGCGUGCGCAGGCGGUUUGUUAAGACAGAUGUGAAAUCCCCGGGCUUAACCUGGGAACUGCAUUUGUGACUGGCAAGCUAGAGUCUGGCAGAGGGGGGUGGAAUUCCGCGUGUAGCAGUGAAAUGCGUAGAUAUGCGGAGGAACACCGAUGGCGAAGGCAAUCCCCUGGACCUGUACUGACGCUCAUGCACGAAAGCGUGGGGAGCAAACAGGAUUAGAUACCCCAGUAGUCCCUGUCUCUUAUAC